AGGUUCUACACAUGACGCCUUCGUGUGGGCCAACUCUGAGCUGAAACAGCGGUUUCAGGAAGGGGAGUUUGGGGACUUCCUGCUUGUUGGUGACAGUGGGUAUCCCCUUGAGCCCCAUCUCAUGGUGCCAGUGAGCAACCCCUCCACUGAAGCGGAGAACCGCUACAACAGGGGGCAUGCCCAAACGAGGGUGAUUGUUGAGCAGACGAUUGGGAUGUUGAAGAGUCGCUUUAGGUGUCUGCACUCUUCUGGGGGAACACUGCAAUAUGCACCCAUCAAGUGUGCAAAAAUUGCAAAUUCAUGCAUGCUACUGCACAAUCGCUGCAUCAAGCGUCGUAUUCCUAUUCCUUCUGAUCUUCCACCAGUAGACAACGAGGAAGUGCCCCAGGCUGCCGUCAUCCGUGCUGUGCAGAGAGGGCAGCGAGGACUUGGCAGAGCUGUGCAGCAGGAGAUUAUACAGCAUUUUUACCAGCCAUGAAGAGUUCCAUAGCAAGAGCUACAAACUCCUGCAGAGAGGCCAUCAUGCCUCUCUGUGCUGCUGCCAUGUUCUCCAGAACCUGCUGCUGCGUUGCAGCCAUCUGCUCAAUGGCCUGCACCAACCUCUGCAGUGCCUCCCCU
Molecule: long non-coding RNA, 618 nt
Organism: Eriocheir sinensis (Chinese mitten crab)
Lineage: Eukaryota; Metazoa; Arthropoda; Malacostraca; Decapoda; Varunidae
Exons: 5
Source: RefSeq, a predicted model, not a curated record